UUGUUACUCCCUCCGUCCGAAAUUACUUGUCACAAAAAUGGAUAGAAAUGGAUGUAUUUAGAACUAAAAUACAUCUAGAUACAUCCAUUCCUCGGACAAGUAUUUCCGGACGGAGGGAACAUAUC
Molecule: non-coding RNA, 125 nt
Organism: Hordeum vulgare subsp. vulgare (domesticated barley)
Lineage: Eukaryota; Viridiplantae; Streptophyta; Magnoliopsida; Poales; Poaceae
Source: Rfam